AACGAACGCUGGCGGCAGGCUUAACACAUGCAAGUCGAGCGCCUCGCAAGAGGAGCGGCAGACGGGUGAGUAACACGUGGGAAUCUACCCAUCCUUACGGAACAACUCCGGGAAACUGGAGCUAAUACCGUAUACGCCCUUCGGGGAAAGAUUUAUCGAGGAUGGAUGAGCCCGCGUUGGAUUAGCUAGUUGGUGGGGUAAAGGCCUACCAAGGCGACGAUCCAUAGCUGGUCUGAGAGGAUGAUCAGCCACAUUGGGACUGA
This 263-nucleotide ribosomal RNA is filed under the name uncultured bacterium. RNAcentral's name for it is "partial 16S ribosomal RNA". It matches the Rfam family "Bacterial small subunit ribosomal RNA", at positions 29 to 322 of the family's 1533-position model. The record is from RNAcentral.